RNAcentral lists this non-coding RNA (762 nucleotides) under Hyblaea puera (teak defoliator). Lineage: Eukaryota; Metazoa; Arthropoda; Insecta; Lepidoptera; Hyblaeidae. The record is from RNAcentral.
UAGUUUAAUUAAUUUAAUAUAAAUUUAUUUUACAUAUAAAUUUUAGUGUUAAAUUUUAAUUAUUUUAAUAAUAAUUAUUUUUAUUAAGUAGUAAUUAAUAUUAAAAAUUUAAGAAAUUAUGAUUUAGUAAUAUUUAAAUUAUUAACAAAUUUUGUGCCAGCAGUUGCGGUUAUACAAAAAUUAAAUUAAAUUAGUUUAGUUAUUAAUGAUUAAAUUAGAUAUUAAUUUAAAUAUUAAAUUAUUAAGUGAAAUUUUAAUUUAAUUUAAAUUUAUUUAUGAUUUAAGAUUUAAUAAAUUUUAUAAUAAACUAGGAUUAGAUACCCUAUUAUUAAAAAUUUAAAUUAAAAUACUAAAAUAGUAUAUAAUAAUUUAUUGAAACUUAAAUAAUUUGGCGGUAUUUUAGUUAAUUUAGAGGAAUCUGUUUAAUAAUUGAUAAUCCACGAAUAAAUUUACUUAAUUUUAUGUUUUAUAUAUCGUUGUUAAAAAAAUAUUUUUUAAUAAAAAUAAUAUUUUAAUAUUUAAAUAAGAAAUUAAAUCAGAUCAAGAUGUAGAUUAUAGUUAAGAAUAUAAUGGAUUACAAUAAAUUUAUUUAAAUGAAUAUUAAUUUGUAACAAUUAAUUGAAGGUGGAUUUAAAUGUAAUUUUAUUUAAUUUAAUAAAAUGAUUGAAAAUUAAAAUAUGUACAUAUUGCCCGUCGCUUUCAUUAAUAAAUUGGAAUAAGUCGUAACAAAGUAGAGGUACUGGAAAGUGUUUCUAGAAAGAA